GUAACAUUCGAGAGAGAAUUGGAUAAGUACUUGAAGAGGAAAUUGAACAGGACAAUGGGGAAAAAUAAUGAAUGGGACUAAUGGGAUAAUCUGCUAUCGAGUCAGCACGUGUGAGAGAACCAACACACUCUUGAUGUAUCCUGGCCAACAGUGAGACAUCAAAUGUUAUUGCGACUCCACUAUUCUGGGAGUUCCUGAUGUGUUUUGUGGAGAGAAGUGCCUUCAUCCAUCACUUGAAAUAGAAACUACUUUCUCUUUUGGGGCCAAGGAUCUGAAAGAUACCGAUGACAGAGAUUCUACUGGCUCCAGGUCAUCACAAAUAUAACAGCUUUCUCCAUGAAGAAAUACAAAGUGUUUUUGAAAACAGGGAUGUUAUUUUAAAUGAAAGGCUUCAACCAAUCAGAUAUAAACUGAUAUACAGACACAAACUGAUACUUGGGCAACCUGGUAAAAAGUAAAGGCGUAGCUGACAGCAAACGAGCUAGUCAAAUAGCGGAAAGUUCUGGAUUGACCACUUUCACUAGAUUCUAACUGAUGUGAUCAACCUGUAUCCUCACUGGAGAUACACUUACUCUUUUACCUCCAUUCCUUUUGUAAUGCUGGAUUUACUCUUGCCCGCAGCAAGAAAGAAGGAGGUAAAUUUGUGCAGUUGAUGUUGGAAGCAGAUUGUGUUCAUGUUAUAUGUGA
Long non-coding RNA from Pristis pectinata (smalltooth sawfish), 687 nucleotides. RefSeq lists it as uncharacterized. The record is from RefSeq and is a predicted model, not a curated record. The transcript is spliced from 3 exons. NCBI's taxonomy places the organism in Eukaryota, Metazoa, Chordata, Chondrichthyes, Rhinopristiformes, Pristidae.